Molecule: ribosomal RNA, 493 nt
Filed under: uncultured Acidobacteriota bacterium
Lineage: Bacteria; Pseudomonadati; Acidobacteriota
Description: bacterial SSU rRNA
Rfam family: Bacterial small subunit ribosomal RNA
Source: RNAcentral
GGCGGCGUGCCUAACACAUGCAAGUCGAACGAGAAAGUGGAGCAAUCCAUGAGUACAGUGGCGCACGGGUGAGUAACACGUGACUAACCUACCCUGGAGUGGGGGAUAACUGAGGGAAACCUUAGCUAAUACCGCAUAAUACCUACGGGUCAAAGGAGCAAUUCGCUUCAGGAGGGGGUCGCGGCCGAUUAGUUAGUUGGCGGGGUAAUGGCCCACCAAGACAGUGAUCGGUAUCCGGCCUGAGAGGGCGCACGGACACACUGGAACUGAAACACGGUCCAGACUCCUACGGGAGGCAGCAGUGGGGAAUUUUGCGCAAUGGGGGAAACCCUGACGCAGCAACGCCGCGUGGAGGAUGAAGUCCUUCGGGACGUAAACUCCUUUCGAUCGGGACGAUAAUGACGGUACCGGAAGAAGAAGCCCCGGCUAACUUCGUGCCAGCAGCCGCGGUAAUACGAGGGGGCGAGCGUUGUUCGGAAUUAUUGGGCGUAAA